Molecule: transfer RNA, 73 nt
Filed under: Camelus bactrianus (Bactrian camel)
Lineage: Eukaryota; Metazoa; Chordata; Mammalia; Artiodactyla; Camelidae
Also listed under: 2 other names
Rfam family: tRNA
About the family: Transfer RNA (tRNA) molecules are approximately 80 nucleotides in length. Their secondary structure includes four short double-helical elements and three loops (D, anti-codon, and T loops).
Source: Rfam by way of RNAcentral
GAGGGUAUAGCUCAAGUGGUAGAGUGCAUGCCUAGCAUGCAUGAGGUCCUGGGUUCAAUCCCCAGUACCAACU